This 725-nucleotide long non-coding RNA is filed under the name Salmo trutta (river trout). RNAcentral's name for it is "lncRNA (ENSSTUG00000011548.1)". Lineage: Eukaryota; Metazoa; Chordata; Actinopteri; Salmoniformes; Salmonidae. The record is from RNAcentral.
GUUACAAUAACUUCCAGUGAAUUUGCCCGCUAGGCGCUAGUUAACGUUAGCAGACGUUGGCUAGGCGCUAGUUAACGUUAGCAGACGUUGGCUAGGCGCUAGUUAACGUUAGCAGACGUUGGCUAGCUAGCUAGCAUAUUUUAGCCAGCAACGUUAAGGCUAUAGCUUAUUCGUAGACAGUAAUAUAGUGCAAGGACUGACAUUGGAUACAGUAGCUCAGGACAACGCAUGUUUAUAGGAAAAGUUACUUUGAAAAACGUGUUAGACCGCUCAAAGAUCGGCGUCCUCCCAUGACAAGUACUAACGUUAGCCAUCCAGUUCAACCUACAAUCAAAACAAACUUUUGAUGUCUGAUGAAGAAGAUGCUCCGGGCUGACCUCCAGGCCAAUAAGAACGGGGUGUCCAUCAGGCGGAAUACAGGUCCCUGACCGAAAGCUGGGCUACCCUUCACUGGAGUGCUUCCUCCCAGCAUCCCCUCUGUGGUCAGGAUGGAGAAUUGCAUUGGGGAGAUAAUGUGCCUCGCUGCAGUCUGUCAAGAAACGGCCCACAUCGCUCAGCUGGUCGCCCGUCAGAAGUCCAGCAAGAGGGCGCCUGGCAGCUCCCAGAUGCUGAACUGUCAGAUGACGUCGAAAUUGGCUUCAAACUUUGUGUUCUAUGGUAGGUCUCGUCUGUCCUUGUCACAGUCAGUGUCAUCUGACAAUGGCUCUUUUUCUGAAUGUGUCUUU